GCCGGGAUGGCGGAAUAGGUAGACGCGGCGGACUCAAAAUCCGCUGGCCUUCGGGCCUUGGGAGUUCGAGUCUCCCUCCCGGCACCA
Molecule: transfer RNA, 87 nt
Filed under: Gammaproteobacteria bacterium
Lineage: Bacteria; Pseudomonadati; Pseudomonadota; Gammaproteobacteria
Description: tRNA-Leu
Rfam family: tRNA
About the family: Transfer RNA (tRNA) molecules are approximately 80 nucleotides in length. Their secondary structure includes four short double-helical elements and three loops (D, anti-codon, and T loops). Further hydrogen bonds mediate the characteristic L-shaped molecular structure. tRNAs have two regions of fundamental functional importance: the anti-codon, which is responsible for specific mRNA codon recognition, and the 3' end, to which the tRNAs corresponding amino acid is attached (by aminoacyl-tRNA synthetases). tRNAs cope with the degeneracy of the genetic code in two manners: having more than one tRNA (with a specific anti-codon) for a particular amino acid; and 'wobble' base-pairing, i.e. permitting non-standard base-pairing at the 3rd anti-codon position.
Source: RNAcentral